GGGGCUGAAAUUAGCUCGACGGUUGAACUUUAACAAGCUUCUACGCGCAGGUCGGUUCGCACUGAACGUUAUCCGGUGUAACAACAAUAAACGCCAAAAACGUUUUGGCUUCUGCAAGUAACUUCCUUUUUGGUCGUUCACUCGCGACAGAAGCUGUCGUAGCCUAAUUUAUAAAUAGGCUACCCGCCGGUAUUCUGACAUCAGAUAGGGGUUUGCCGGUGUCAUAUUAUCUGAUUGCUUCUGCCAAGGUGGUCCGCCGCUGGCAGACCAAGACCAACGGACUUUAGUACGGUUUGCUUUUGAUUGUUUUUAGGACCGUGCUUAAGAAAUACCAAACGAUCUAAACCUGUAGUGCGUAAGCGAGUUAUCAAUCGGACGUGGGGGCAGUACCCACCAGCUCCACCA
RNAcentral lists this transfer-messenger RNA (405 nucleotides) under Candidatus Saccharibacteria bacterium RIFCSPHIGHO2_01_FULL_49_21. It matches the Rfam family "transfer-messenger RNA". From Rfam's summary of the family: Bacterial tmRNA, also known as 10Sa RNA or SsrA, is named for its dual tRNA and mRNA-like properties. The record is from RNAcentral. Lineage: Bacteria; Candidatus Saccharimonadota. RNAcentral also lists the same sequence under 3 other names.